UAGCCGUAAACGAUACUCGCUAGGUGUCGGCCACGGUGCGACCGUUGUCGGUGCCGUAGGGAAGCCGUGAAGCGAGCCACCUGGGAAGUACGGCCGCAAGGCUGAAACUUAAAGGAAUUGGCGGGGGAGCACCACAACGGGUGGAGCUUGUCGGUUUAAUUGGAUUCAACGCCGGAAAUCUUACCGGGACCGACAGCAACAUGAAGGCCAGGCUGAAGACUUUGCCGGAUUAGCUGAGAGGAGGUGCAUGGCGUAGUCGUGU
Molecule: ribosomal RNA, 262 nt
Filed under: uncultured archaeon
Lineage: Archaea
Description: partial 16S ribosomal RNA
Rfam family: Archaeal small subunit ribosomal RNA
Source: RNAcentral